This 484-nucleotide ribosomal RNA is filed under the name uncultured bacterium. Its description in RNAcentral is "partial 16S ribosomal RNA". It matches the Rfam family "Bacterial small subunit ribosomal RNA", at positions 28 to 523 of the family's 1533-position model. The record is from RNAcentral.
GAUGAACGCUGGCGGCGUGCUUAACACAUGCAAGUCGAACGGUGAAGCAGGAGCUUGCUCUUGUGGAUCAGUGGCGAACGGGUGAGUAACACGUGAGCAACCUGCCCCUGACUCUGGGAUAAGCGCUGGAAACGGCGUCUAAUACUGGAUAUGUGAUGUGACCGCAUGGUCUGCAUCUGGAAAGAAUUUCGGUUGGGGAUGGGCUCGCGGCCUAUCAGCUUGUUGGUGAGGUAAUGGCUCACCAAGGCGUCGACGGGUAGCCGGCCUGAGUGGGUGACCGGCCACACUGGGACUGAGACAGGGCCCAGACUCCGACGGGAGGCAGCAGUGGGGAAUAUUGCACAAUGGGCGGAAGCCUGAUGCAGCAACGCCGCGUGAGGGAUGACGGCCUUCGGGUUGUAAACCUCUUUUAGCAGGGAAGAAGCGAAAGUGACGGUACCUGCAGAAAAAGCACCGGCUAACUACGUGCCAGCAGCCGCCGUAA